CUUGUAUACUCUAAUACUCCGUACAAGCUUUUUGGUACCUAAACUUUCUUCCCUCUUUAGGGUGUUCAAAAGUCUAGUAAGCUUUGAGGGUGGAUUUAGAUUUUCGAGAAAGGAAGAUUUUCUGGAUUCCAAGAAUUCUUCAAGGAAGGCAGUUCUUGUUAUUAAUAAUGUGCCAAAAUUUCGUAUCAUUCUACUCUUUAGCCUUUUUCAUAAAAUUGACAAUACUCUCAAAGAUGGGGAGAUUAGGAGAACAAACUUGCUCAACAAAGGAUUUAGACUCCGGGUGAGCCUCCAAGCUGCUCCAAAUCUGAAGGGUCUCCAAUGAUCCAAUGAUUCUUGACUGUUCCCAAGCUUAUUUUAAUAAGGUAGUGGUCAUGGUAGCACUCGGUAAGGGUGUUAAACUCCAUAUCCUAGAAGAGAAUAUGACUCAGAAAUGAAGUAAACUUAUGAAGCCUCACUUUCGCAGAGCCUUUCGUCCAGGUAGACCCGGGUCCUUUAAGAUCCCAAUUGAUGAACCCAUAUUCUUCUAUAUCAAAGUGGAAGAUGUAAGCUUGUCUAUCAUAAUCAAUGGAACCCUCAAUUUGGUCCACCGGAGAAGCAAAUGUCAUUUGAAUUACCAACAAGGAUCCAUGGAUCAGAAAUAGCAUGAUCCAAAUCCUUAAGGUGGUUCCGAAGCUUACCAGCAAGGAUUCAUGAAGGCUAGCAUGAACCGAAAUGAAGAUUCAUUUGAAAUUAUUAUGGGAAAUUUUACAGUGAAUACAUUGUUUUAGGGCUUGUACAAUUUAAAUAGAGUAAGAUUGCCUUAAUACUCAAAUUCUCUCAGAAAAGCUAAUCGCAUUAGGACGAACAAACUGCCGAAAACCCAAUUUAUUUAUGAAAUUAUUUGCAUAUCUGCUAUUUGUGGAAUUCAUAACUAGAUAAGAUCUAGUUAAAUUGCUAAUCACAUCAGAUCAAAAAUAAUAAGUAGGAAGAAAAUCCCGGAAUUCAUCGUCGCUGGAUUUAUUAGUUAACUACGCAGAUAAAGUUUAACCAAAUCGGAUGAAAAAACCCUAAAAUUCAACGGAAGGAAAAAACAAAAACUUGAUGAAGAGAAUAAGAACAAAAAUGUGGGUCUAAACCAGGCCCCCUAAUCAAAGCCCCAGGAAGAAGCUCAUAGGGAGCAGACAUGUCGACCCUUUGGAGUCCCUCUCCGUGCACACUACCAUGCUUCCUUCAUCCUUUAUUCCAGAGCAUCGGCUUAUUGUACACGGUUUUAAAUCAAACACAUUCAGUAUCACAUGCACAUAAAACCCCACAAUCAGAGAAGAUCAAAACUUGAGAAAAUAACUCCAAAAUAGAAGAGUUAUGGAGCCUACCGACUGAAAUCCUGAAUCUGCCGGAAGCCCUGACGAAGAUGAAUGCCCCUUUUGGUGAGUAUUUAUAGCGGAGACACUCAUUUUAGGGUUUUUCCCCCUAUUUCGAAGUUGUAAAAUACCAAAAAGGCCAUCACCAUAACUUUGAAAUUACAAAAAUGCCUUAGCCCAAUCGUUUGAUGGCCUAGAAGUUUGAAGCAGAAGAAGUGCAAAUUCUGAUUGGAUAUAUUUGUGGAAUUCAUAGCCCUUCUUUGCCCUGUCACUUCCCAAAGACAUCUUAGGGCUUCUCCUUUCCUCAAUUUCCAAGUU
RNAcentral lists this long non-coding RNA (1661 nucleotides) under Carica papaya (papaya). RNAcentral's name for it is "long non-coding RNA (CPAP_LNC012758)". The record is from RNAcentral. Lineage: Eukaryota; Viridiplantae; Streptophyta; Magnoliopsida; Brassicales; Caricaceae.